This 565-nucleotide ribosomal RNA is filed under the name uncultured bacterium. RNAcentral's name for it is "bacterial SSU rRNA". It matches the Rfam family "Bacterial small subunit ribosomal RNA", at positions 28 to 584 of the family's 1533-position model. The record is from RNAcentral.
AUUGAACGCUGGCGGCGUGCUUUACACAUGCAAGUCGAGCGGCAGCAUGACCUUCGGGUUGAUGGCGAGCGGCGAACGGGUGAGUAAUACAUCGGAACGUACCUUUUAGUGGGGGAUAACGCAUCGAAAGAUGUGCUAAUACCGCAUAAUCUCUGAGGAGGAAAGGCGGGGAUCACGUAAGUGACCUGUCGCUGAAAGAGCGGCCGAUGGUCGAUUAGCUAGUUGGCGGGGUAAAAGCCCACCAAGGCGAUGAUCGAUAGCGGGUCUGAGAGGACGAUCCGUCACACUGGGACUGAGACACGGCCCACACUCCUACGGGAGGCAGCAGUGGGGAAUUUUGGACAAUGGGGGAAACCCUGAUCCAGCAACGCCGCGUGAAUGAAGAAGGCCUUAGGGUUGUAAAGUUCUUUUGUCAGGGAAGAAAGUUUCUGUGCUAAUAUCAUAGAACGAUGACGGUACCUGAAGAAUAAGCACCGGCUAACUACGUGCCAGCAGCCGCGGUAAUACGUAGGGUGCAAGCGUUAAUCGGAAUUACUGGGCGUAAAGCGUGCGCAGGCGGUUAGAU